AUACAGAAUUACCAAGUUAAGUCUGUCAUAACUUAAAUAUAUUGGGUUUCUUCCUCACAUAUGUAUGUGUGCAUGGGUGCAUAUGUGUAUGCAUGUAUGUAUAUGUGUAUGUGUAUAGUAGAAACUUAAUUUCCUGUAAAGCUGCUUUGCAACGAUUGUAUCGUAAAAAGCGCUAUACAAAUAAACUUGAAUUGAAUUGAAUUGAAAUUAAUUUUAACUAAUAGAAUGUUAGAAUAUAAUGACUGAUAACUUUUUCAGCAUGGGUCUAUGCAAUGAUGGAGAACAAGAUAAUGGGGGUGUUAAGACCCAGAACCAAGCUUACUGAGCAAUAAAGCUAUAAUGAGCCCUUUUAUUAAAAUACCUAGGUAAUACAAAAAUAAUACAAAAAUUGUCAUUCACUCAGUAUUAAUUAAUGUAAUUCACAACUAUCUCAGUUACAAUUAAGUACAAAUUAAUUGUAUUCAGUUGUGUUUUAGGCACUAAAACAGUCCAGUACUUUAUAAUCAAAUACAUAAUAAAGCAAUUAUUCUAAUAUUGUUUUUCUUUUUCUUUAUUCAACAAGCUAUUUUCACAUUAAGAAUGUUUUCAGUUGUGGAAUUCACCUCAGAUCACAGUGUUGCGGUAAUUCCUGAUGCACAAAGAAUUAAACCAGUUGAUCUUUUAGGCUGCCUUCCUUGACUACUGAUUGGCUCAUGAAGCUGUCAGUCAUCAUUAAGCAACAUGACGCCGACCUAUCAGCUGCCAGAAAACUUCCUGCUGGCAGAUAUAAGGAUGCUGAAAGAAGUGAAUGGAGAUUUCUUUUGCUCACUUUUUGCUGUCAUUGUACUUGUUUUGAUUUUGCUUUGUUUAUUAUUGAUUUAUGCCAAGAUCCUUUGUUUUUAUUUGACAGUAGUUAAACCCUACCAUCUUUUUGAUUUGCCAUUUUUGUUUGAUUGUUACUUUGUAACUCGGAUGGCAUUGCUCUAUGAGCUUUGAUGGGCUGAUACUCCGUGACGUUUACUCUUUACUCAAGAGGAAGGUGGAUAGGGAAGAUGUCGUACGACUUCCAUUGUGCAACAUUCAGGUAACUCGAUGUAUAGAAACCCUAGGUAAGAGGUGAACGCCAUCCCCUAUAUGUUUUGUUUGUCAGUUGAGAGUAGGGAAGUAUAUGGCGCUUGGCGCUGAAGAUUUCUUUUCUUUUUAUUCCUUUAGUUAGGAUAGAGGUUUAAAUAAGGUAGAAUUGGUUUUGUUUGUUUGUUUCUUUUGGCGUCACUAGCGUCCCCUUUCUCUUGGGUUGAUUUGUGUAGUUUUUUUGUUGUUGUUCAUUUUCUUUUUCCUGAAUUGUAACUUUGUACAUAUUGGUUCUCUCUUUAAAUGACUUAUACUUUUGUAAAUAUACUUUGUAGUUAUGGAUUCUUUUCACUUUUGUAUAAUAAAUCACUUUCGUUGGC
Onychostoma macrolepis is the source of this 1430-nucleotide long non-coding RNA. RefSeq lists it as uncharacterized. Lineage: Eukaryota; Metazoa; Chordata; Actinopteri; Cypriniformes; Cyprinidae. The transcript is spliced from 3 exons. The record is from RefSeq and is a predicted model, not a curated record.